This is a long non-coding RNA of Halichondria panicea, 648 nucleotides long. RefSeq lists it as uncharacterized. NCBI's taxonomy places the organism in Eukaryota, Metazoa, Porifera, Demospongiae, Suberitida, Halichondriidae. The transcript is spliced from 2 exons. The record is from RefSeq and is a predicted model, not a curated record.
UAUAAAUAGACAGCACACAAAAGCACAUGUCAUAUGAGCUACAUGUACAUGUACUUUCAAUCAUGAAGAUUGCUUUGAUACUAGCAGCUCUUGUACUGAUUAGUGAAGCUGUCAAUAUCAAGAAGAUCUAUUGUGGCAAACAAGAAUACGUCGGGAAUCCAGGAAACAAAUAUCCUCAUCUUCAUUGUGGGUCAAACUUUCUUACUCUUUCAAGAGAGAAAAAUCGGCACAUUAAUUUGAUAGAGAAGUGCAACACAAUUAAUGAAAUUCUUAAAGACAAGCUAAACUAUUAUGGAAAGGCUGCUAAUCCUAAGUCGAUUACUACUGCUCUAAAAUUGUACUUUGAAGACGUUUGCCGGAAUGAAAAUUCGCCAAGGAAAGAACUCUGAUGAUACAUGCACAUGACAUGUACAUUUAGAUCACAUGUUAGUAUAGAGAAGCCUGCAUGUCUAGGAGCAAGCAAAACUACAGUACAAGCAUAAAAAAUUAUACUCGGAGCUAAAAUUAUUUUAUAAUAUCUACAGAUGUAGGUUAUAAUAUUUUUGUAUGAAAGAAUCACAGAUUGUCAGUACAGUGAAGUCUGUCUACAAGUGGUCACCCUUGGUCAGACUAACAGUGGCUGUAAUGCACCUAUCAAUGUCAUCCCCA